RNAcentral lists this ribosomal RNA (245 nucleotides) under uncultured Thermogutta sp. Its description in RNAcentral is "partial 16S ribosomal RNA". It matches the Rfam family "Bacterial small subunit ribosomal RNA", at positions 524 to 768 of the family's 1533-position model. Lineage: Bacteria; Pseudomonadati; Planctomycetota; Planctomycetia; Pirellulales; Thermoguttaceae. The record is from RNAcentral.
GACGAACCGUACAAACGUUAUUCGGAAUCAUUGGGCUUAAAGGGUGCGUAGGCGGCGCUGCAAGUUGGGUGUGAAAUCCCUCGGCUCAACCGAGGAAUGGCGCCCAAAACUGCCGUGCUUGAGGGAGACAGAGGUGAGCGGAACUUGCGGUGGAGCGGUGAAAUGCGUUGAUAUCGCAAGGAACACCGGUGGCGAAAGCGGCUCACUGGGUCUUUUCUGACGCUGAGGCACGAAAGCUAGGGUAG